Molecule: ribosomal RNA, 253 nt
Filed under: uncultured bacterium
Lineage: Bacteria
Description: partial 16S ribosomal RNA
Rfam family: Bacterial small subunit ribosomal RNA
Source: RNAcentral
UACGUAGGGUGCGAGCGUUAAUCGGAAUUACUGGGCGUAAAGCGUGCGCAGGCGGCUUUUUAAGCCAGAUGUGAAAUCCCCGGGCUUAACCUGGGAACUGCAUUUGGAACUGGAAGGCUAGAGUGCGGCAGAGGGGGGUAGAAUUCCACGUGUAGCAGUGAAAUGCGUAGAGAUGUGGAGGAAUACCGAUGGCGAAGGCAGCCCCCUGGGAUAACACUGACGCUCAUGUACGAAAGCGUGGGUAGCAAACAGG